AUGCUCGCUUCGGCAGCACAUAUACUAAAAAAUUAGAACGAUACAGAGAAGGUUAGCAUUGCCCCGUGCAAGGAUGACACACAAAUUAAUGAAGCGUUCCAUAUUAAA
Molecule: small nuclear RNA, 108 nt
Filed under: Peromyscus maniculatus bairdii (prairie deer mouse)
Lineage: Eukaryota; Metazoa; Chordata; Mammalia; Rodentia; Cricetidae
Source: RNAcentral